This 164-nucleotide ribosomal RNA is filed under the name Euphorbia drupifera. RNAcentral's name for it is "5.8S ribosomal RNA". It matches the Rfam family "5.8S ribosomal RNA". Rfam says of the family: 5.8S ribosomal RNA (5.8S rRNA) is a component of the large subunit of the eukaryotic ribosome. The record is from RNAcentral. RNAcentral also lists the same sequence under 4 other names. Lineage: Eukaryota; Viridiplantae; Streptophyta; Magnoliopsida; Malpighiales; Euphorbiaceae.
AAAACGACUCUCGGCAACGGAUAUCUCGGCUCUCGCAUCGAUGAAGAACGCAGCGAAAUGCGAUACUUGGUGUGAAUUGCAGGAUCCCGCGAACCAUCGAGUCUUUGAACGCAAGUUGCGCCCUAAGCCUUUCGGCCGAGGGCACGUCUGCCUGGGUGUCAUUC